Molecule: ribosomal RNA, 439 nt
Filed under: Clavibacter michiganensis subsp. michiganensis
Lineage: Bacteria; Bacillati; Actinomycetota; Actinomycetes; Micrococcales; Microbacteriaceae
Description: bacterial SSU rRNA
Rfam family: Bacterial small subunit ribosomal RNA
Source: RNAcentral
UGGCUCAGGACGAACGCUGGCGGCGUGCUUAACACAUGCAAGUCGAACGGUGAUGUCAGAGCUUGCUCUGGCGGAUCAGUGGCGAACGGGUGAGUAACACGUGAGUAACCUGCCCCCGACUCUGGGAUAACUGCUAGAAAUGGUAGCUAAUACCGGAUAUGACGAUUGGCCGCAUGGUCUGGUCGUGGAAAGAAUUUCGGUUGGGGAUGGACUCGCGGCCUAUCAGGUUGUUGGUGAGGUAAUGGCUCACCAAGCCUACGACGGGUAGCCGGCCUGAGAGGGUGACCGGCCACACUGGGACUGAGACACGGCCCAGACUCCUACGGGAGGCAGCAGUGGGGAAUAUUGCACAAUGGGCGAAAGCCUGAUGCAGCAACGCCGCGUGAGGGAUGACGGCCUUCGGGUUGUAAACCUCUUUUAGUAGGGAAGAAGCGAAAGU